Long non-coding RNA from Nomascus leucogenys (northern white-cheeked gibbon), 784 nucleotides. RefSeq lists it as uncharacterized. The record is from RefSeq and is a predicted model, not a curated record. NCBI's taxonomy places the organism in Eukaryota, Metazoa, Chordata, Mammalia, Primates, Hylobatidae. The transcript is spliced from 5 exons.
UUCCAAGCCUUUGAAAAAGGGGAAAUCUUCCAGUUUUACAAAAGUUAAUUGCCAGUGACUGGUCUACACUGACAUGGUUAGGAAUGCAAAAUGGGGCAUACCUGGGAUCUCCUAACCAUCCCAUCUUAAUCAUUAUUUUUAUUGUUUCCCUGUGAAUUCUGUGUUACUAAAGCUGAACUGCUGCAUCAUCGAUUUUAUUCCAUAAAUUGUUAAAUUUCCCUAUUAUCAAUAAUGUCACUUUUAGUUCGAUUGGCUGAGUUUUCUUUGCCUCAACAUGUUCCAACUUCAGAAUUGUUUGCUCUUUUUUCACAGAGGAAAUGUCUUUUGAAGGCUUCACUGACUCCAAGCAGAUUUCUUCCAACAAUUUCUUGCUUCUUGUGAUGUUAGAAGAGCAAUUAUGUUCCUGUGAGCAGCUGAUGGAGGACAUCAUCAACAUGGAAGUACUUCUUUGUGAGAGAACUGUCAGCUUACCUUUAUAUUAAUAGAUAUUACCUUUGAACUAUAUCUGUGGGAAAAGAAAAGCUAUUUUAGUCCAAGCGAUUCUCCUGUGUCAGCCUCCCAACUAGCUGGGAUUACAGGUGUUCUCCUGAAGAGGGUGAAGGUCCCUACCCUGAAAUAUGGUCAAGACCUCAUAGCAACACCAAGAAAUCCAGGGAAGAUUUAUUUUCCCACCUCUGUGUUGGCUCAAGAAGAAAAGAAUAGAUUUCAAUGGCAGCUAGUAUAGUAUUAUCUAGAAAUAUAAUUUGUAAAUUUUUAAAAAAUACAAUCCAAUAUUACACAUUGG